This 226-nucleotide ribosomal RNA is filed under the name Pirellulaceae bacterium. RNAcentral describes it as "partial 16S ribosomal RNA". It matches the Rfam family "Bacterial small subunit ribosomal RNA", at positions 1316 to 1533 of the family's 1533-position model. The record is from RNAcentral. Lineage: Bacteria; Pseudomonadati; Planctomycetota; Planctomycetia; Pirellulales; Pirellulaceae.
CUGCAUGAAGCCGGAAUCGCUAGUAAUCGCGGGUCAGCAUACCGCGGUGAAUGUGUUCCUGAGCCUUGUACACACCGCCCGUCAAGCCACGAAAGUGGGGGGCCGACGAAGUCGCCGAGCUAACCCUCUGGGAGGCAAGCGCCGAAUCGGAACUCCAUGAUUGGGACUAAGUCGUAACAAGGUAGCCGUAGGGGAACCUGCGGCUGGAUCACCUCCUUUCUAAGGA